UACGGGGGGGGCAAGCGUUGUUCGGAAUUACUGGGCGUAAAGGGCUCGUAGGUGGCCAACUAAGUCGGACGUGAAAUCCCUCGGCUUAACCGGGGAACUGCGUCCAAUACUGGUUGGCUUGAGUUUGGGAGAGGGAUGCGGAAUUCCAGGUGUAGCGGUGAAAUGCGUAGAUAUCUGGAGGAACACCCGUGGCGAAGGCGGCUCUCUGGUCCGAAACUGACGCUGAGGUGCGAAAGCUAGGGGAGCGAACGGG
RNAcentral lists this ribosomal RNA (253 nucleotides) under uncultured bacterium. RNAcentral describes it as "partial 16S ribosomal RNA". It matches the Rfam family "Bacterial small subunit ribosomal RNA", at positions 524 to 776 of the family's 1533-position model. The record is from RNAcentral.